This 1309-nucleotide ribosomal RNA is filed under the name metagenome. Its description in RNAcentral is "bacterial LSU rRNA". It matches the Rfam family "Bacterial large subunit ribosomal RNA", at positions 1609 to 2925 of the family's 2925-position model. The record is from RNAcentral.
CCAAAAAAGCUCCUUUUCGUUUCCCUAGGUGCCCGUACCGUAAACCGACACAGGUGGGUGGGUCGAGUAGACCAAGGCGCGCGAGAGAAACCUCUCUAAGGAACUCGGCAAAAUAGCCCCGUAACUUCGGGAGAAGGGGUACCCACUUCGGUGGGUCACAGUAAAUUGGGUUUAGCGACUGUUUAACAAAAACACAGCACUCUGCCAAGUUGUGAAAACAACGUAUAGGGUGUGACACGUGACCAAUGCGGAAAGAUCAAGGUGACUUGUUAGCCGCAAGGCGAAGCUCGGAGCCAAAGUCCCCGUGAAUGUCGGCCGUAACUAUAACGGUCCUAAGGUAGCGAAAUUCCUUGUCGGGUAAGUUCCGACCUGCACGAAUCGUGUAGCGACUGAACCGCUGUCUCGGAGAGGAUCUCGGCGAAAUUGUAACGGCGGUGAAGAUGCCGCCUGCCCGCAGUAGGACGGAAAGACCCUAUGCACCUUUACUGUAAGCUGGUAUUGUGUUCUGAUUAAUGAUGCGUAGCGUAGGUGGGAGACUUUGAAGCCAUGGUUUCGGUUGUGGCUGAGUCGCAAUGUGAAACACCACUCUUUGUUAAUUAGGAUUCUAACCCUAUGCUGUUAGCCAGCUAGGGGACAGUGCCUGCGGGUCAGUUUGACUGGGGCGGUUUCCUCCCAAAGGGUAACGGAGGAGCGCUAAGGUACUCUCAGCAUGGUUUGCAACCAUGCGUCGAGCGUAUGGGUAGAAGAGUGCUUAACUGCGAGACCAACAAGUCGAGCAGAUACGAAAGUAGGCCCAAAUGAUCCGAUGGUUGAAUAUGGAAUUGCCAUCGCUCAACGGACAAAAGGUACGCUAGGGAUAACAGGCUGAUCGGAUCCAAGAGUUCAUAUCGACGAUCCGGUUUGGCACCUCGAUGUCGGCUCAUCGCAUCCUGGGGCUGGAGAAGGUCCCAAGGGUCCGGCUGUUCGCCGGUUAAAGCGGUACGCGAGCUGGGUUCAGAACGUCGUGAGACAGUUCGGUCCUUAUCCACUGUGGGCGCAGGAAACUUGAGGGGUUCAUUCUCUAGUACGAGAGGACCGAGAAUGACGCACUUCUGGUGUGGCAGUUGUUCCGUCAGGGGCAGCGCUGCGUAGCCAUGUGCGGAAGAGAUAAGCGCUGAAAGCAUCUAAGUGCCAAGCUCAUCCCAAGAUAUUGUUUCCCGGACGCAAGUCCCUAAAGACUCCAUGUAGACCACGUGGUUGAUAGGUCAGGCGUGUAAGUGCCGCAAGGUACUCAGCGGACUGAUACUAAUUAGUCGUGCGGCUUGAUCGC